CGUAGGGGGCGAGCGUUGUCCGGAAUCAUUGGGCGUAAAGCGCGCGUAGGCGGCCCGGUAAGUCCGCUCUGAAAGUCCAGGGCUCAACCCUGGAAAGCGGGUGGAUACUGCCGGGCUAGAGUCCGGAAGAGGCGAGUGGAAUUCCUGGUGUAGCGGUGGAAUGCGCAGAUAUCAGGAGGAACACCAAUAGCGAAGGCAGCUCGCUGGGACGGUACUGACGCUGAGGCGCGAAAGCGUGGGGAGCAAACAGGAUUAGAUACCCUGGUAGUCCACGCCGUAAACGAUGGGCACUAGGUGUGGGAGGUGUCGACUCCUCCCGUGCCGACGCUAACGCAUUAAGUGCCCCGCCUGGGGAGUACGGCCGCAAGGCUA
RNAcentral lists this ribosomal RNA (372 nucleotides) under uncultured organism. RNAcentral describes it as "bacterial SSU rRNA". It matches the Rfam family "Bacterial small subunit ribosomal RNA", at positions 526 to 896 of the family's 1533-position model. The record is from RNAcentral.